UAAACACAUUAAAAUCAAAUAAUCAAAUAAUUCACUUGACAAAUAAGAAAAAUAACUGAUUGAGAUCUAAUCCACUAAUUCAUUAACUAAAAUAGUUAAUUAAUUAAUUUCUAAAUUAUAUAAUUAAACUAAAUAAGAAGAACAAGAUAGAAAAGAGAAUAAAAGAAUAAAUAAUAUAAGAGAAGGAUAAAAUAUUAGGAUGGUGCAAGAAUAAAUAUGGGCCUAAAACCUAA
Molecule: long non-coding RNA, 233 nt
Filed under: Lathyrus oleraceus (garden pea)
Lineage: Eukaryota; Viridiplantae; Streptophyta; Magnoliopsida; Fabales; Fabaceae
Description: Pisum sativum (pea) long non-coding RNA (PSAT_LNC023649)
Source: RNAcentral